This 326-nucleotide long non-coding RNA is filed under the name Elaeis guineensis (African oil palm). RNAcentral's name for it is "long non-coding RNA (EGUI_LNC053242)". The record is from RNAcentral. Lineage: Eukaryota; Viridiplantae; Streptophyta; Magnoliopsida; Arecales; Arecaceae.
CCUGAGAGUUCUAGCUCGCGAAGACAUCAUCCAUUGGCUGAUUUAAGAGGAACAUGAUAGAAUUGAAGAAUAAGGAGACCCUCUCUUUUUCUUUCUGGAUCCAUGCAUCUGAUCUCUAUAAUAGAGAUCAAGAGAAGAAUCAUUUCUUCUCAAUUUUUCAUGUAUAAGAGAGAACCUUUUUUUCUUUCUUUCAUGCCCUUGAGAAGAAUUUUUUUUCUCUAAUUUUUUAUGAUAAAAAUUAGAUCUAAUCUGAUUUCUUAUAUUGAAAAUCACAUAAAAUUUUGAGAUCCAAAAAAAUCCAAAAGAAAAAUCCAAGAGAAGAACUG